RNAcentral lists this ribosomal RNA (827 nucleotides) under uncultured crenarchaeote. RNAcentral describes it as "bacterial SSU rRNA". It matches the Rfam family "Archaeal small subunit ribosomal RNA", at positions 52 to 859 of the family's 1478-position model. Lineage: Archaea; Thermoproteati; Thermoproteota. The record is from RNAcentral.
UGCUAGUCGUGUGACUCAGGCAAAACGAGUCACGGCACACAGCUCAGUAACACGUGGCUAAUCUGCCCUUAGGACGAGAACAACCCCGGGAAACUGGGGCUAACUCUUGAUAGGUGAAGAACUCUGGAAUGAGUCUUUGCCUAAAUAGAUUCACGUUAUCCUCGUGAAUCUGCCUAAGGAUGAGGCCGCGACCGAUCAGGUUGUUGGCGAGGUAAUGGCUCACCAAGCCUUUUACCGGUGCGGGCCGUGGGAGCGGGAGCCCGGAGAUGGGUACUGAGACAAGGACCCAGGCCCUACGGGGCGCAGCAGUCGCGAAACCUUUGCAAUAAGCGAAAGCUUGACAGGGCUAUCCCGAGUGCCAUCCGCUGAGGAAGGCUUUUACCCAGUCUAGAACGCUGGGGGAAUAAGGAGAGGGCAAGUCUGGUGUCAGCCGCCGCGGUAAUACCAGCUCUUCGAGUGGUGUGGAUGUUUAUUGGGCCUAAAGCAUCCGUAGCUGGCUAGGUCAGUCCCUUGUUAAAUCCACCGAAUUAAUCGUUGGAUCGCGGGGGAUACUGCUUGGCUAGGGGACGAGAGAGGCAGACGGUAUUUUCGGGGUAGGGGUGAAAUCCUAUAAUCCCGGGAAGACCACCAGUGGCGAAGGCUGUCUGCUAGAACGCGCCCGACGGUGAGGGAUGAAAGCUGGGGGAGCGAACCGGAUUAGAUACCCGGGUAGUCCCAGCUGUAAACGAUGCAGACUAGGUGUUUGAACGGCCACGUGCCGUUCUAGUGCCGCAGGGAAGCUGUUAAGUCUGCCGCCUGGGGAGUACGAUCGCAAGAUUGAAACUUAA